This is a long non-coding RNA of Ahaetulla prasina, 856 nucleotides long. RefSeq lists it as uncharacterized. NCBI's taxonomy places the organism in Eukaryota, Metazoa, Chordata, Lepidosauria, Squamata, Colubridae. The transcript has 2 exons. The record is from RefSeq and is a predicted model, not a curated record.
AUUCGACUCUUGAGUUGCCUUCCGUCCUUCAGUGAGAGUUAUCCUUUCCCUGAGCGGUUUAUCCAACCCACCAAGAUGUCUUACCAACAUCAACAGUGUAAACAGCCCUGCCAACCUCCUCCUCAAUGCCAGAAGACCGGCCCCACACCGGUCUGCCCCCCACAAGUGUGCCCACCCAAACCUUGCCCCCCUCAAGAUUGUCUUCCUGACCCUUGUCCUCCCAGACCCUGCUCGCCUCAAAGUUGUCUUCCCAAGCCUUGCCCACCACAAGAUUGUCGUCCGGACCCUUGUCCUCCCAGACCCUGCUCUCCUCAAAGUUGUCAUCCCAAACCUUGCCCACCACAAGACCAGCAAAGCUGCCAACAACCAAAACGUUGUUGAGAUGCCUUCAACCGGAGGAUGGGCGAAAGAAGGAAGACGCAGUUGGGGCUUUUGUGGACCUUUAAUGCUUGGAUGACCAUCUUUCUAACCAACUUGGUGAACUCAACGCUGGGAUGCGUCUUCUCGGGAACCCCUUGACUCUGUCUUCUCCUCAUGCCAUCUGCUCCUGCCCGCCUGUGGUCCAAACACUGCAAAUGUUUUGGGUCUCUGGGACUGAUGGACAACCUGGUUGGCGCCGAACGCUUGCAUGUCCUCUCCUGACGUCGCUGAGAACUCGAGACGGUAAAUCUGGACGGGCAGCUGGAAGUUCUGGAGAAGUUCUGACUGUGAUGGUUUCCCAACCUACAUUCCAGGAGGCGUUCCGGGCUGUUGCACCCAGUUAUUUUGCUAAAUAGUAUACCUUUGUGUUCUUGAUCUAUCUGUUCCCUUUCAGUGGCUGAGAGCUAUAAUUAAAGCAUGCAUGACUUAGAUGAAA